This 422-nucleotide ribosomal RNA is filed under the name uncultured bacterium. Its description in RNAcentral is "bacterial SSU rRNA". It matches the Rfam family "Bacterial small subunit ribosomal RNA", at positions 355 to 774 of the family's 1533-position model. The record is from RNAcentral.
UAGGGAAUAUUGGGCAAUGGAUGCAAGUCUGACCCAGCCAUGCCGCGUGCCGGAUGAAGGCCCUCAGGGUUGUAAACGGCUUUUAUUCGGGAAGAAGAGCAGGGAUGCGUCCUUGUGUGACGGUACCGAAUGAAUAAGCACCGGCUAACUCCGUGCCAGCAGCCGCGGUAAUACGGAGGGUGCGAGCGUUGUUCGGAUUUAUUGGGUUUAAAGGGUGCGUAGGUGGCUUAAUAAGUCAGCGGUGAAAUACAGCCGCUCAACGGUUGAGGUUCCAUUGAUACUGUUAAGCUUGAUACAAGUGGAGGCUGCCGUAAUGGAUUGUGUAGCAGUGAAAUGCAUAGAUAUCAUCCAGAACACCGAUUGCGAAGGCAGGUGGCUACGUUUGAUUUGACACUGAGACACGAAAGCAUGAGGAGCAAACA